This 611-nucleotide ribosomal RNA is filed under the name uncultured bacterium. Its description in RNAcentral is "bacterial SSU rRNA". The stretch from base 1 to 524 matches the Rfam family "Bacterial small subunit ribosomal RNA", at positions 338 to 873 of the family's 1533-position model. The record is from RNAcentral.
CCUACGGGAGGCAGCAGUGGGGAAUAUUGGACAAUGGGGGCAACCCUGAUCCAGCAAUGCCGCGUGAGUGAUGAAGGCCUUAGGGUUGUAAAGCUCUUUUACCAGGGAUGAUAAUGACAGUACCUGGAGAAUAAGCUCCGGCUAACUCCGUGCCAGCAGCCGCGGUAAUACGGAGGGAGCUAGCGUUGUUCGGAAUUACUGGGCGUAAAGCGCACGUAGGCGGUUACUCAAGUCAGAGGUGAAAGCCCGGGGCUCAACCCCGGAACUGCCUUUGAAACUAGGUAACUAGAAUCCUGGAGAGGUGAGUGGAAUUCCGAGUGUAGAGGUGAAAUUCGUAGAUAUUCGGAAGAACACCAGUGGCGAAGGCGGCUCACUGGACAGGUAUUGACGCUGAGGUGCGAAAGCGUGGGGAGCGAAACAGGAUUAGAUACCCUGGUAGUCCACGCCGUAAACGAUGAUAACUAGCUGUCCGGGACACAUGGUGUUUGGGUGGCGCGAGCGUACGACUAUUAGUUACGUCCGUCCGUGGGUAGGUACGGUCGACGAAGAAUAAACUAACGAAAGAAGUAGACGGCGNGAGACGUCGACCGACGGACGACGACGAGGAGGAG